Molecule: long non-coding RNA, 204 nt
Filed under: Mytilus galloprovincialis (Mediterranean mussel)
Lineage: Eukaryota; Metazoa; Mollusca; Bivalvia; Mytilida; Mytilidae
Source: RNAcentral
ACCUAACAUAUCAACUAGCUGACAUUCUUAUAAUAGAAAAUACACAAAACAUAUCUGAUUAGAGAGUUCUGUAAGAAGACAUAAAUGAUUUCACCUAUAUUCUGAAAUAAGUAAAAAUGUUACGGAGGCGAACUCGUUGCUGCUCAAAGACUUAUUUCGUUCUAACAGUCAUUUGCAUUUUUUACUUUAUUUACAUAACCGACA